Pelobates cultripes (western spadefoot toad) is the source of this 392-nucleotide non-coding RNA. The record is from the annotation of a GenBank genome assembly. Lineage: Eukaryota; Metazoa; Chordata; Amphibia; Anura; Pelobatidae.
CUGAAUAAAAGUCUUACUCCCAGCAUUAAGCCUCGGAUCAUGUCAGUUGCUCUAUUUCCUACUAUACUCUCUGGAUGAGAUGAGAGGCCUACCCACUGGGAACUGGAUCCAGGACUUGGGUCCAGGGUGGGCGGAGAAGGUGAGACCCCAGCCAAGCUGUGGCGACUAAGGGGCUACAGUGCUUAUGGUGUCUGGUGCAGUGCUUAUGGUACUCAGGGAUUACUAGGAAGCAUGAUUGGUGGAGGUACUCAGUCGGGGUACCAGGUGGUCUGCCACAUUCACAUGAAAGGAUCAUCGUACCCUUUCAUCUCAACAUUUUCCUACAAUGUGGGUAGUGUCGCUUAUGUGUCCUUUUUGGUCGGCUUCAGGGCUAAUACCUUCUCUCCUAUUUC